RNAcentral lists this ribosomal RNA (440 nucleotides) under Capnocytophaga sp. oral taxon 329. Its description in RNAcentral is "bacterial SSU rRNA". It matches the Rfam family "Bacterial small subunit ribosomal RNA", at positions 28 to 475 of the family's 1533-position model. The record is from RNAcentral. Lineage: Bacteria; Pseudomonadati; Bacteroidota; Flavobacteriia; Flavobacteriales; Flavobacteriaceae.
GAUGAACGCUAGCGGCAGGCCUAACACAUGCAAGUCGAGGGAGGAGCUUUCGGGCUUCGACCGGCGUACGGGUGCGUAACGCGUAUACAAUCUGCCUUUCACAUAGGGAUAGCCCGAAGAAAUUUGGAUUAAUACCUAAUGGUAUAUAGGGGUGGCAUCACCUUUAUAUUAAAGCUGAGGCGGUGAAAGAUGAGUAUGCGUUCUAUUAGCUAGUUGGAGAGGUAACGGCUCCCCAAGGCUACGAUAGAUAGGGGUUCUGAGAGGGAUAUCCCCCACACUGGUACUGAGAUACGGACCAGACUCCUACGGGAGGCAGCAGUGAGGAAUAUUGGACAAUGGUCGGAAGACUGAUCCAGCCAUGCCGCGUGCAGGAAGACGGCCUUAUGGGUUGUAAACUGCUUUUGCAGGGGAAGAAUAAGGACUACGUGUAGUUGAGACGG